CACGGGGGUUGGAGGGCAAGUCUGGUGCCAGCAGCCGCGGUAAUUCCAGCUCCAAUAGCGUAUAUUAAAGUUGUUGCAGUUAAAAAGCUCGUAGUUGAAUUUCGGGAUCAAAUUGUCGGUCGUGCCUCGGUACGUACUGGCGUUAUUGGUUCCUCCCUUCUGAAGAACCGCGAUGUCAUUAAUUUGGUGUCGCGGGAAAUCAGGACUGUUACUUUGAAAAAAUUAGAGUGUUUAAAGCAGGCUCGCGCUUGAAUACAUUAGCAUGGAAUAAUGAAAUAGGACGUUUGAUUCUAUUUUGUUGGUUUCUAGGAUCGACGUAAUGAUUAAUAGGGAUAGUUGGGGGCAUUAGUAUUCAAUUGUCAGAGGUGAAAUUCUUGGAUUUAUUGAAGACUAACUACUGCGAAAGCAUUUGCCAAGGAUGUUUUCAUUAAUCAAGAACGAAAGUUAGGGGAUCGAAGACGAUCAGAUACCGUCGUAGUCUAACCAUAAACUAUGCCGACUAGGAUCGG
RNAcentral lists this ribosomal RNA (509 nucleotides) under uncultured Glomus. RNAcentral's name for it is "SSU rRNA". It matches the Rfam family "Eukaryotic small subunit ribosomal RNA", at positions 536 to 1055 of the family's 1831-position model. The record is from RNAcentral. Lineage: Eukaryota; Fungi; Glomeromycota; Glomeromycetes; Glomerales; Glomeraceae.